Molecule: non-coding RNA, 201 nt
Organism: Pelobates cultripes (western spadefoot toad)
Lineage: Eukaryota; Metazoa; Chordata; Amphibia; Anura; Pelobatidae
Source: the annotation of a GenBank genome assembly
UGGCGAACAAAUGGAAGGCUGUGUGGCCCCCAAAGAAAUGCCACCUCACACCAUUACUGACCCACUGCCAAACCGGUCAUGCUGGAGGAUGUUGCACACAGCAGAACGCUCUCCCCAGCAUCUCCAGACUCUGUCACGUCUGUCACAUGUGUUCAGUGUGAACCUGCUUUCAUCUGUGAAGAGCAUAGGGGGCCAGUGGCG